RNAcentral lists this small nuclear RNA (107 nucleotides) under Myotis brandtii (Brandt's bat). Lineage: Eukaryota; Metazoa; Chordata; Mammalia; Chiroptera; Vespertilionidae. The record is from RNAcentral.
GUGCUUGCUUCGGCAGCACAUAUACUAAAAUUGGAACAAUACAGAGAAGAUUAGUAUGGCCCAUGCGCAAGGAUGACACACAAAUUUGUGAAGCAUUCCAUAUUUUU